This 472-nucleotide ribosomal RNA is filed under the name uncultured bacterium. RNAcentral describes it as "bacterial SSU rRNA". It matches the Rfam family "Bacterial small subunit ribosomal RNA", at positions 28 to 501 of the family's 1533-position model. The record is from RNAcentral.
GAUGAACGCUAGCGGCAGGCUUAACACAUGCAAGUCGAGGGGUAUUGGUUUUUGGACCAAGAGACCGGCGCACGGGUGCGUAACGCGUAUGCAAUCUACCUUUUGCAGAGGGAUAGCCCCAGAGAAAUUUGGAUUAAUACCUCAUAGUAUAGUACUUUGGCAUCAAGGAACUAUUAAAGUCACAACGGCAAAGAUGAGCAUGCGUCCCAUUAGCUAGUUGGUAAGGUAACGGCUUACCAAGGCUACGAUGGGUAGGGGUUCUGAGAGGGAGAUCCCCCACACUGGUACUGAGACACGGACCAGACUCCUACGGGAGGCAGCAGUGAGGAAUAUUGGACAAUGGGCGCAAGCCUGAUCCAGCCAUGCCGCGUGCAGGAUGACGGUCCUAUGGAUUGUAAACUGCUUUUAUACAGGAAGAAACACUCCGACGUGUCGGAGCUUGACGGUACUGUAAGAAUAAGGAUCGGCUAAC